CAAGCAUGUGGAAUGGGCACAAUCUCAAUAAGUAUUUAUAAUGCUCUCAUGCAUCAAACAAAGAUUCCAUAUCUUCCUAUCUAAAAUUAUUGAUCUCAUUUCUUACUUG
This is a small nucleolar RNA of Lathyrus oleraceus (garden pea), 109 nucleotides long. The record is from RefSeq and is a predicted model, not a curated record. NCBI's taxonomy places the organism in Eukaryota, Viridiplantae, Streptophyta, Magnoliopsida, Fabales, Fabaceae.